RNAcentral lists this ribosomal RNA (593 nucleotides) under Lachancea thermotolerans. RNAcentral describes it as "eukaryotic LSU rRNA". It matches the Rfam family "Eukaryotic large subunit ribosomal RNA", at positions 52 to 660 of the family's 3401-position model. The record is from RNAcentral. Lineage: Eukaryota; Fungi; Ascomycota; Saccharomycetes; Saccharomycetales; Saccharomycetaceae.
GGAGGAAAAGAAACCAACCGGGAUUGCCUUAGUAACGGCGAGUGAAGCGGCAAAAGCUCAAAUUUGAAAUCUGGCACCUUCGGUGUCCGAGUUGUAAUUUGAAGAAGCUACUUUGGGGCUAGUCCUUGUCUAUGUUCCUUGGAACAGGACGUCAUGGAGGGUGAGAAUCCCGUAUGGCGAGGAGUCUAGUCCUAUGUAAAGUGCUUUCGACGAGUCGAGUUGUUUGGGAAUGCAGCUCUAAGUGGGUGGUAAAUUCCAUCUAAAGCUAAAUAUUGGCGAGAGACCGAUAGCGAACAAGUACAGUGAUGGAAAGAUGAAAAGAACUUUGAAAAGAGAGUGAAAAAGUACGUGAAAUUGUUGAAAGGGAAGGGCAUUUGAUCAGACAUGGUGUUUUGCGACCCUCGCUCCUUGUGGGUGGGGAUCUCGCAGCUCACUGGGCCAACAUCAGUUUUGGCGGUAGGAUAAAUCUUUGGGAACGUGGCUUGUCUUCGGAGAAGCGUUAUAGCCCAGGGGAAUACUGCCAGCCGGGACUGAGGACUGCGACUUUUGUCAAGGAUGUUGGCAUAAUGGUUAAAUGCCGCCCGUCUUGAACC